Molecule: long non-coding RNA, 1654 nt
Filed under: Homo sapiens (human)
Lineage: Eukaryota; Metazoa; Chordata; Mammalia; Primates; Hominidae
Description: HSALNT0400224
Source: RNAcentral
GAAAGAAAGGAGGCACUGGGAAUGCUGAGGGGCUCUGGCAAAUGGUGAUUAUCUAUCCAGAGCCCUUUCUGAAGCAUUGCUCUGCAGACCCGCCAGCCAGGGUUUUCAUUAAGUAGCAUUAAGUCAUAACCUUAAGUAAUAAAGCAAGCAUGCAUAGAAGGGCAAAGCCAGUCACUUCUCAGACCCCGAACCCCUCAGUGAAGGUUGGUGCAUGCAACGGGCUGGCCCUUUGGUGGAGACUGAAGAAAGAGUUUAUUGCAGGUGGGAAUAUUAUUUAAACAGGGAUUGAUGGAGGACAAAAGGGGCUUCUGGUUCCAUGAGGCAGGAGAUAAAUGAGAUGGGAAUCCUGAGUCAUGCAUUUUAUUCACUUCUCUGGAACGAGUUUUGGGGGCUCAUUUAGCAGAGAAAAUAGGACAAGAAAAAUGGACUCAGCUGGCAUUGGACAGAGUCAAAGCCAAAUGACUUCUGGGUUCUAAAUUUUUUUGUUUUGUCUUUAUUCAUACGUGUUGGUUGUUUGGAUUGUUUUUCAUUGACCAUUGUAAGCUAAAUCCAUAUCAGGAGGAUCUGAAAAGCUCAUAAUAAAAAUAUAAAGUAGAGACCAAGGGUUGUAAAAGUGGCAUUUUACUCAAGAUAUAGUAAGGCUGUUUUACAAUAGUGGGUAGUAAUCAAUAAUUUAAAUGAAAACCCUCAAGGGUUAGAUGAUGAUAGAGCUGAUGUUCUUCUUAUUGACCAAGAUGCACCAACCAGUCUUGAAGAGGAUCUCGUUUUGUAAAGGAGCCAUGCAGAAGAAGAAUUCCCAGAGGGAGCCUAAUGUCUGUGAAAUGUCAUAUAUUGCUUACACAGAAACCAGUUACUCAAAGAGCUAUGCUGUUCUUAUGCCCUGUGAUGGAUCUACUGGGGAUAGAGAUAAGAGCCUGUCUGCCUGCCUCAGCCUGUGCACCUGAUCGUUCUUUUCCUGAAGCAACUUGUCAUGCCUUCACAGUGCACACCUGACCAGUUCCAAACCAAAAAGGGAUGUGCCUGGACGUGUGUGGAUAGAUGGCUGAGGGAGACAUUAUUGUUGUUGUUGAGCCUCCAUCAUCUCUCACCUGGACUGGUGCAGUCUUCUCCAAGGUAAAGAUGGCUAAUGGUCUCCCGCAUUCAUCCCCCUUUUUCCUUAGGAACAGAACUCCCGAUUAUUUUGAAGUGGGAGGGCACAUGGUAGCUCAGAAUACAGACCUGCAUUUGCCAGCCUCCCCUGGAGCUCUGGCCAAUAGGAAAUAAACAGAAGUGUCCUAUACGACUUCUAGGAAAUACACUUAAAAGGACAGAAUGGGUUCUUCUUUGACCUUUCCUUACAGCAGCUUGCUGGAAUGCAGGCGUGCUGGCUGGGACUGAACCACCCUCUGGGACUGUGAGGCAGCAAUGUUGGAUGGCGGGGAAGCAGGCUGGAAGAAAAUUUAAGACCCUAGGCUUCAGAAGCAGACGAGGGAACGAGCAGAAGAACAGAAGAACAGCAGAAUGGCAUGGCAGAGAGAAGAAAGGGACCAUCUGAACGCCAAGAGAAAUUCAGCUGGGGGAGGUCAGAGAGGAGAUAGACUGCAGGACAGCCAAGCUCCAGGGGAAGAUCAUCUUCCCACUCCAUCCCCUUUCCAGCUCCCCAUCCAUCCCGCUG